AUGAACUUCCAAGACGUGUACACGCUCCAGCAGGCGCUCGACGUCGCCCCGCCGCCUCGUCUGAACACGGCACAAGACCGUGCGGAGCACGCCGAGCGGCAGCGCGGCCUCCUCGUCGCCCAGGAGGACGAGCGGGUCAUGGCGGAGUGGCGCCAGCGCCACCCGGAGGACGUCGCCUACGAGCAAGGCUACUGGGCAAGGCGUCGCGAGGAGGACACGCAAAGGCGCCGCGAGACGCGGUUGGACAGGCGUCGGCGGAAGGCGUUGGCGAACGCGAAGACCGAUCUCGUUGCAGCAGGUGGGAGGUCGUUCUUCACGAAGAACUAUGAUCGUUGGUUGGACAUAUGGCUAUCAACCUUGGACGACACCGCCGAGGAUGAUAAUGGUGAUGAUGAUGAUAGUGACUUAGAAUAG
Molecule: ribosomal RNA, 414 nt
Filed under: Triticum aestivum (bread wheat)
Lineage: Eukaryota; Viridiplantae; Streptophyta; Magnoliopsida; Poales; Poaceae
Description: partial small subunit ribosomal RNA
Source: RNAcentral